This is a non-coding RNA of Aedes aegypti (yellow fever mosquito), 117 nucleotides long. The record is from Rfam. NCBI's taxonomy places the organism in Eukaryota, Metazoa, Arthropoda, Insecta, Diptera, Culicidae.
UGCCCAGCAACUCCUAUUCCUACGUCUUCGUAGUACUGGCCGGGGUACGAGUAACCUUGGGGAAGAUCGGGUAACCAACCCCCGGUUGGAACAUUGGUCAUAUGCUGACAGGGAAGG